Lathyrus oleraceus (garden pea) is the source of this 107-nucleotide small nucleolar RNA. NCBI's taxonomy places the organism in Eukaryota, Viridiplantae, Streptophyta, Magnoliopsida, Fabales, Fabaceae. The record is from RefSeq and is a predicted model, not a curated record.
AAUCCAUGGUGUGGAAACAACCUCAACAUUUCCUUAAAUCACUCUCAAACUUCGAAGCAAGAUUCCUUAUCUUCUUGCUUACAGAAAGUUAUUUGGUUUCUUAGCUU